RNAcentral lists this ribosomal RNA (439 nucleotides) under Pichia kudriavzevii. Its description in RNAcentral is "eukaryotic LSU rRNA". The stretch from base 62 to 214 matches the Rfam family "5.8S ribosomal RNA". Lineage: Eukaryota; Fungi; Ascomycota; Pichiomycetes; Pichiales; Pichiaceae. The record is from RNAcentral.
AACACCUAAAAUGUGGAAUAUAGCAUAUAGUCGACAAGAGAAAUCUACGAAAAACAAACAAAACUUUCAACAACGGAUCUCUUGGUUCUCGCAUCGAUGAAGAGCGCAGCGAAAUGCGAUACCUAGUGUGAAUUGCAGCCAUCGUGAAUCAUCGAGUUCUUGAACGCACAUUGCGCCCCUCGGCAUUCCGGGGGGCAUGCCUGUUUGAGCGUCGUUUCCAUCUUGCGCGUGCGCAGAGUUGGGGGAGCGGAGCGGACGACGUGUAAAGAGCGUCGGAGCUGCGACUCGCCUGAAAGGGAGCGAAGCUGGCCGAGCGAACUAGACUUUUUUUCAGGGACGCUUGGCGGCCGAGAGCGAGUGUUGCGAGACAACAAAAAGCUCGACCUCAAAUCAGGUAGGAAUACCCGCUGAACUUAAGCAUAUCAAUAAGCGGAGGAAA